UACGUAGGUGGCAAGCGUUGUCCGGAAUUAUUGGGCGUAAAGCGUGCGCAGGCGGUGAUGUAAGACCGAUGUGAAAUCCCCGGGCUUAACCUGGGAACUGCAUUGGUGACUGCAUUGCUGGAGUAUGGCAGAGGGGGGUAGAAUUCCACGUGUAGCGGUGAAAUGCGUAGAUAUCAGGAGGAACACCGGUGGCGAAGGCGCACAUCUGGCCCGAUACUGACGCUGAGGCGACGAAAGCUAGGGGAGCAAACGGG
RNAcentral lists this ribosomal RNA (254 nucleotides) under uncultured bacterium. RNAcentral describes it as "partial 16S ribosomal RNA". It matches the Rfam family "Bacterial small subunit ribosomal RNA", at positions 524 to 776 of the family's 1533-position model. The record is from RNAcentral.